Micropterus dolomieu (smallmouth bass) is the source of this 500-nucleotide long non-coding RNA. RefSeq lists it as uncharacterized. NCBI's taxonomy places the organism in Eukaryota, Metazoa, Chordata, Actinopteri, Centrarchiformes, Centrarchidae. The transcript is spliced from 3 exons. The record is from RefSeq and is a predicted model, not a curated record.
UCCUCUGGAGGCCAGCGAAGCUCCCCGCUCUCGACUUCCCCCUCUGUUGGCUCAACUACGAUGGAUGGCAGACGAUCUUUGAGCUUACAGCAACGGUCAAAGUCUGACGGGUCGGGGAAUAUCUAAAAACAUAGGUAAAAUACUGACUCACAGCUGGGGUGUGAACUGUUGGGAGAGGAAGCCAGCCUUCCUCUGGGUCAGUCUACUUCCUCUUAGAGUAUGUCUACAUGGCAGUAGCAGGUUCAUUCACCCUUGUCUCCCGUCAAGUCAGCUGGGCUCGCCACCCUGCCCUCUUCCCUCGGACCUCCUCCACAGCAUCCUCCCGGCGCUUCCCCGUGCCCAGCCAGUCUGCCACCACACUCUUCCACCAACCUCCCCGGUCAGUUCUCCCGUGCCUCCUCUCUCCCUUGUCUCAGUCUCCUUGGUUCCCCAUGCCUGUGUUUCCCUGGCAUCCGCCUCUCCCUCACCUCCACUAAAUAAAACCAUCCUGAAAAAAUUCA